UACGUAGGUGACCAGCGUUGUCCGGAUUUAUUGGGCGUAAAGAGCUCGUAGGUGGUUCGGUAAGUCGGGUGUUAAACCCCCAGGCUCAACCUGGGGACGCCACUCGAUACUGCUGUGACUAGAGUCCGGUAGGGGAGCGUGGAAUUCCUGGUGUAGCGGUGAAAUGCGUAGAUAUCAGGAGGAACACCUAUGGCGAAGGCAGCUCGCUGGGACGGUACUGACGCUGAGACGCGAAAGCGUGGGGAGCGAACAGG
This 254-nucleotide ribosomal RNA is filed under the name uncultured bacterium. RNAcentral describes it as "partial 16S ribosomal RNA". It matches the Rfam family "Bacterial small subunit ribosomal RNA", at positions 524 to 776 of the family's 1533-position model. The record is from RNAcentral.